This is a non-coding RNA of Coturnix japonica (Japanese quail), 6704 nucleotides long. The record is from RefSeq and is a predicted model, not a curated record. Lineage: Eukaryota; Metazoa; Chordata; Aves; Galliformes; Phasianidae.
CCAUCGCGUAUAUAGGGGCGCAGAGCUCACUGCCCGCACCGCGGAGUGCUGCCCGGCCUGUCCCAUCCGCCAGGUAACGGGGUCCCAGCGGUGCCGAGGAGCGGGGCUCUGACGGGACCAUCUGCUGCCGGUCCGCAGGCAGGAUGAGCGCGAGCUUCUUCCAGCUGCUGAGAAAGAAGAAAGAACUCAUCCCCCUGAUCGGAGUCUUGUCCUGCGCUGCCGUUGGGGCUGCUGCUUUUUCAGUCUAUUCCCUCGUCAGCAAAUCCGAUGUGAUCAUAAACAAGAGUGGCAAUCCUGAGCCAUGGGAAACCAUUGACCCUACCCGGCCUCAGAAGCUAUUAACAAUCCAUCAGAAAUGGAAACCCAUAGAAGAGUUGGAAAGUGUCAAAAAGCUUACGAAGUGACGAGUUUCUGUUGCCCCUCAUGGUACUCUAUGAAUCUAGUGGAAUCACUUCUGCACAAACUUGACUACUGAAAUCAGUGUGCGGAAAUGCUUCUGCUACAUUUCUAGGGUCUCCCUCCAUUUUUUGGGCUCUGGUUGAGGAGUUUCAUGUUGCCUUAGAAGCUGGCACACAGCAUCCACUUAGUCCAAAAAGUCUGUGUCAGAGCUCCUGAUGUUGAACAUUUGCUGCCAGAUGUUGAACAUCCAGGUUUUAUUCAAUAUGGAAAAAGUUUUUGUGCUUUUUAAAAUAGAAUUUUGGAGUUUGUUUCAUCAGAAUUAAUACUGUGGUUUUAUCACAAUAAAAUCUGUUCAGCAUUUUGCAACAUUCUUUGUAAAUUCCAUAAAUGGAGACUACCCAUAAGUUCUUCUGAAUUAGUACUCCUUAUUUGCUCCCUCUUUAUCCUAUACCUUUAUGUUGUAUGUGCACUGUAUACAGACCAAAGUGUCGUAGCCAGAAGAUGUCUAUGCAUGGCAACAUAUGUUGCCAAAAAUACACUUGCAUUUAUUUCCUGUAUUAGAGGCAGUGACAAUUUAAGUCAAAGUUAAGGUUCUGCUGCUGAUACUAGAACUUAUAUCUGCACUGAGCUUAGGCUACCAAGGAGUCUAAUAGGUGAGUUAAGGCUGCAUUUAGGAACACAGGGUGAAAACAUAACUUCAGCACAGCUAAAGAGGAAUUAAAAAUGAGAAAGUUUGGUCCAUUUAAAUAUUGUUCCUGUUUAAACUUGUAAAAAGUUACUAGAAUUGGAAAAUUUACAUUACCCAAAACUACAUUAAGCAUUAAUUUCUUUAUCUUCUGCUAGGUGGUUCACAUGCAAAGUUAAUUUUACUGCAUAGCCAGCAGGAGCUUUUUAACAUUUUAGAUGAGGGACAAAGAGAAAAUGAAAGAGAUUAAAAGUAGGAAUGACUCUUUAGAGAGAUGCUUCCUCUUUAAACAUCUGUUUUCUGAUAGAUUGGCUGGGGAAAUGGUGCAACAGGCAGAUCCUCACCAAGUAGGUGUCCCAUUCUGUGCAGGAUCACAUGCAUUACAAAGUUUCUUCUACUCUGGAUGGUAAGGAUACAUGUUAGGGCUGAGAGGAGGAAGAAAACUGAAACAAAUUAAUUUGAAGAAGUCCCUCCUCAAGUGAGUAAUACUGAACUUCCUGCUGGAGGUUACUCUGCUGCAGCACAUACCUAACAAGUCAGCAGUGCGGCUUCAGGGGAUUUAUAUUCUCUUGGGGGUGUAUUUGAUGCUGAGAAGAAAACAUUACAAUGUUGUUUAUCACACUUGUGCUAAGUUGCAGCGUAAAAAAUGAACAAGUAAGUAUGACUCAGCAGCAUUUAGGAGUGAUAGGAAUUACAGGACUUCAGAGCGCAAGCUUGGCUUUCAUUUUAAGGAAUGAUGCUAUGAGAUAAAUUGGGUGGUAUGUAACCACAAAAACCCAGUUCUCUGGGAAAUACAACUUCUAUGCAUUUAAACAGAAGUAUUGUAAAGUACUUUCUGUAAGUUGGUGUGUAUUUCCGUGUUUUGCUUGUCUGUAUCAGUCCAAAAACAUCCUGUGCUGUGCUCUGAGUUGAUAUAUGAAUUAAAUGAGUUUGUCCUUCAGUAAAUCUCUGGUAUGGGCUCUGAAUACCAGUGAUGCUUCUGACCCAAGUAUCUUCACCCACACUCUUUAGUACAUUUCCAGCUUUCACAUGAAUUACAGAGUUUCAUUAUAAUAUUCACUGGCUUGUUAGAUUUUUCAAUUUUGUAUUAACAACUAUUUGAAAUCAUGGUGAUUUAUAUGGUUGUGCUUUUCUAGCUGCAGCUGGCUGACAGUUGUUAAAGCCUGUUUGUAAAUAGUCUUCUGAAAGAACAGAAUGUUGCUUUCUGUAGUUUACAUGCAAACUGAAUAAAUAUUCCCCCUUAAAGUGUGAGUCCUUUUUAAAUCCCUUAUCUGUAUUUCUCUUAAUCUGUCCCAGCCUGUCACUGACAUAUCUACUUUUUUUCUGAGUUAAUAAGAGAGUUAUGGCCUGAGAAAGAUAAAACUUAUUUGCCAACCUCCUUUUAGCCUCUCCCCUUUCUCCAGCUUAUCUGAUGUACCAGUGAAUAUAUAUAUAUCCUCAAAGAAGCCAUGAUGUGGAACAGGCUGUGUGUCCCGGAUGUCAGGACCAUCAUUUUGUGUAUGAACUCAGUAAGUUCACAAGAUCUUUAAGCAAAACUUCAAAUUCUCUUAAAUCGAAAUCAUUUUUGCUUUCAAAAAGGAAGGUGAAGCUUGUCAAUAAAAAAACUAAUAACUUUAUAUUCUUUUUGCUGUGCACUUUUAUUUUAACUACAAGUCUUUGUUAUAGUAGUACUUACUCAGUAGUACUGAGAUUUGCAGGAUACAAGAGCUGUGCUGAGUUCCUUGUUUGGUUUUCUUUGUGUGUCAUAGCCCAUGUCAGCAUUUCUCUGCCUGAUGCUCUAUGGUUCUCUGCUGUAUUUUACUACCCAGCUACUUCAUUGGUGCAUGUGUUUUCUGUAGUAAGUGGUAGAAACAGAGUGCAGUCAGUAAAGGAAAUUGUUCAUCCUCCAGUUGUCACCUGUCUCAGCACAGAGGGCUGUUGCCCCCAGGACUAUCUGUAGAAAACAGAAGCAAUGGGGAUGAUUUACUGACUCUGUGCAGUAGCUUUCAGAUUUAACAAACAUGGCCGCAUUACUCAAAGCAGUUUUAAUUCAUUGUCCGAAGUCUUCAAUGUAUUGCACAUCUCUAUCACACAAGCAGCAGCAUGAGACAACACCAUCACAUAAAAGCCUAACAGGAAUGAAAAUCAAAAAGCAUUACUGAGGAAAUGGACAGAGGGUGUUGCAAUUGUGCUCAGAAGCUGUUUACCUUCAGGUGCUGAUUUGAAUAGAGAGCAGGUAGAUUAUUUGCUGAAAGCAUUUUCCCCUCAUAAACCAGCCAUCGCUACCAAAUAAACUCUUCAGAGGAAGCUCAAUGUGAAUAGGCACCAAUAGGCCUCACCCGGUUCAAAGAUCAGACACCUCUGCAGGGCACUUCAUGGAGGCUGUAUGAGCCCUACCCAUGAUGUACCUUGGCCUAAGGAUCAAAGGAUUUUAGUUUAAUAAUCUGUUAUUUUCAGAUAAUGUUAUCAUAUAAUCAUAAAAUGGAUUGGUUUGGAAAGGACUUCAAGACUGCACAGCCCUGGUUUCUGCUGUGGGCUGUGUCCCCCAGCUCAGCUGCCCAGGGCCCACCCAGCCUGGCCUUGGGCACCUCCAGGGAUGGCACCCACAGCUCUGGCAGCCCAUGCCCGGACCUCACUGCCCUCUCAGUGAAAACUUUCCCCAACAGAUUUAGCUAACUCUAAAUCGUGUGCUGUGGGCAGGUUGCACGGUCUCUCUCUUUGCCCUUUGCUCCAUGUGUGGCAGAGCUCUGUGCUGCUGGAGCUACAUCCUGUAACACGAGAUGUGUUGCAGUGACCCCUGCCUUAUGUGCCUUGUGUGCGCUGCGUUCCUCGUGCUUCCAUGUGAGUGGCCGUGCUGCAUGGCAGCCGUGUUGCACAGCAGCUGGUGAUGGCCUGGCCUGGCUGAAGGCAUCAGCCCGCUUCUUAGAAAGCUUUUUGUGUGGAUGGGUUGGACUUUGCAGUGUAAGGUUUUAAGGUAAACCAGGCAUCUUUGUGACACUCAGAAAUUGUUUGUGCUGGCCUGUUACAGCUCAGAUAAAUAUGUUUCCAGCCUUAUGAGCUGUCAAGCAGCAGAAAAAGCCUCUUCCACUUCAAAGGUUUAAUCCUGGCUGUAGCACAACCUGGUUAUACCUGUGUUCUGCCCCUCACACGCUCCUCUUUUCCUCUCUCCUUUCUUCUCGCUGCAUCCCUUUACUGAAGGGAAACCUACUGAAACCUCCUGAAACAAACACAUCAGAGCACCUUGGUCUGACUUAUUUACAUUGCUAGUACUGUUUACUCAUACACCAAAAUCUGACUGAUCUCACUGUUUCCUGACAAGAAAAUGGUGAAGUAAUUUGCUGAUGUUCUGUGACUCCAAACUUGAAGUGGUCAGGCAGUUUCUUAUUCCCAAAAACUGUGAAUCAUCUGGAUUCCUGCAGCCUUGUAGGACAUGGUACUGGCAGUCCAAGCAAGGGCUGUGAAACAGCUUUCUUUCUUUUUGUGUUUUCUUUUCUGUUAUAUUAUUUAAAUAAACUGGGAGGUGUUAUUUCUUUAUGUCCUAAUUCAUUCAAACAGACUCUGGGUGGCUUUGCUGACUUCUUCUUCUAAGUGUUGAAGCUGAAGCUGAAGCUGAAGCAGUGGCUCUUAGAUCUGAGACCCUGUAACAGCAGUUUCUUCUUUAUUUGUUUACUUAUGUUUUAAAAGCAGUGUUCUCUGCUGUAGGGAAUGGAAGUUCUGUACAGACACUGACGAUACAGAUGGUGUUGAACUGAGCAUCUACAGACUCAGAGUGAAAUGUCAAUAGCACCAAAGACAGACUGUGGUGAGCAGAGCGUUGCCUAAAGGAACAUCUGAGAAGUGAUGCGGUCACAAGGCAGCGCUGCCGGCCGUCCCACUUCACAGACAGAGCUGCAAACCUCUUCCUGCCAUGUCACUGCUUCAUAUGGCACUCAGUAUGUGUCUUCUCUGCUCUCCUGCCCUGCUGGCUGCAGGCAGGGCACCAUCUUCUGGGCAGCUGGGGAAAGGCCUGGAAGACCUGCCUGUGCUGUUCGGUGUCAGACGUGUUCUUAUCCAAGGUUUGGAGAGAAGCCACAAGGAAUCUGUGAAAAUAGUGGUACUCAGAAUGACUCUUCAAUAUCUGUAAAGAUAACUUGUCUUCUUUCAUGGACACCUCAUGCUCACAUUUUCUGUUACUUCAUGGGAAACAAGACCUGCACUUUUCUGGCUGAAGAGGGAGCCAUAGUUCAUUCUAAAGAGCAUCACAGGGCUGAGUGGAGCUUGUGUUCACAGGCACUCUGAGAAAGAACUGCUGUUAGACUCACCAAGAAAAGGGCACGAGACCUCAAUACAAAUAAGAUUAAUAUUUCAUAAGACAGAAUGUGAAGUUUAAUAAUUGAUUUAAUAAAACCCACAAUAAAGCAACACAUCUCCGCUUUUUCUUCAAUUAAACAAAAGUGUAGUAAAUCAUUACAAUAAAAAAACUCCAAAUACAUUACAUGUCUACCAUACUUCAACUUCUAAUUACAUCAACUGUAAAUCCCAAGUUAGUUAAAACCUGCUUGAGUACUAGUAUGUGCAAAAUACCUGUUGUGGUGGGAGGUUUUUGCUUGAUUUUAGGGAAUUUCUAAGAACAGGGUGCAUGUAUUUUCAUGAACUGUGAUAUGGCUUAAUUGGUGGCAAUGUUUGUACUGAAGCAUUAACUUUCAAGCACGGUGUUCCUUAGUGUCUGAGCUGUGCGUACUCCUGUGCUGUACUCAGGUGUUCCCACUUCUUGCCAGAACAAACCCAAACGUAUUCUAGUGUUAUUAACACUGUGCUGUGAGUUCUCACCUCUGCAAAUUCAUCAUGAGCUCCUUGUCUUAAUGAGAAAACAAGCCAAGACUGUUGCUACCAAUUGCAGAUAUAAAUCGCCCUGAUGAAUAUGUGAAACCCUAUCAAGUUUCAAGACAACAUCUCAAGUAUUCACAGCUGAGCAUCACUAUAUCUGUUACUGGUCCAAAACUUUCUGCUCCACGUGCAGAAAUACUUUUGAUGUCAGCUGAAGCUUUGUGUGAAGAUCAAAGCGCAGAAUAAGCAAAAAAUACUCAAAGCAAAGUUCUGUCUAUUGAACGCUGCGGGUCAUUCUUGUUGCCCUUGGUUUCAAUGCAGUAUUAGCAUCAGCAACAGGCAUAAACAUCAGCCUGGAUGUGUGGUAGGCUGGUGGUGGGUAGAGGCUUAUGUUUUAUUAUCCUGCAUACAUUCAAAGUACAAGGAUUGAGCUAUGAGGCACAGCAAUUCAGUUUAGUGGACUUUGAAGUGACAGGAUGAGAAAAGUCUUCUCAAAUUGCUCUGAUUCUCAAUCAGUAAAAGAGCUUUCUGUCUCUGUAGGUUGCUGUGAUUGCAUUGUCCAGUGUGCAUGAGGCCGCUGAGCUUGCUCGGAUUUCGUUUUACUCCUAGAGCUCAGUAGUGAGGGACUGCUGUUGUAUUGGCUGUCCUGUGGGGAUACUGCCUUCCUGUCCUCACAGCAGAGAUGAACAGGUCAGAGAUCCAAGAAGGAGGGAACACUCCACCUAAAACUUCUGCUCUCCCUUUCCCUUCUAGUACAUUUAAGUAUUUUGCACGUCUGUAGAUUGUAUCUGAGAGUACCUUCACGUCAAGCAUAGUUCCUGUCAUUUUAUUUUUU